Long non-coding RNA from Brienomyrus brachyistius, 682 nucleotides. RefSeq lists it as uncharacterized. Lineage: Eukaryota; Metazoa; Chordata; Actinopteri; Osteoglossiformes; Mormyridae. The record is from RefSeq and is a predicted model, not a curated record. The transcript has 4 exons.
GUGAGAAGGGCGGGAAUGAACCCCUGGUGAUACUGGUUGAACCGGCUGUGAGCAGCACAGACGCCACUGCAGAAUGACCUGGUGAGGAAGAGCACCAGCUCCCAAAUUACCUCAAUGUUUAGAUUUUUUCCACAGCUCUGAGAAGAGAGGGGAUUCAAAGACUCACAGAGAGCAAGAGCUGCUUUGUGAGGACCACGGUCUACAAGAAGGGGCUUUGUGCUUUAUGUAAGCCACACCAAGAGCGGCAUUAAUGACUGUCAGCGUUCUCCGAUCUGAGCUCUCUUGGCCUAUUUGGUUUGGUCCAGUUAUAAAUUCUUCUGUGCUGAGGGAGCUGAUGAUGAAGUUCCCUGCCAAUAUAGCUUUUCUGUGCUUGGGUGAAGAAUGGAAGAUAAUGAAGAUGCGGUACUGUCAGUCUUUCCGCAUGGAGCCACAACACAAGCCAGGGGAAGGUUUGUUAGCAGAACUCAAGGCGUGAAGCCGUAUUAAUUUGGAAAAGCAGGAUACAGCAUCACUGUGCUUAAUGAAGCCAGCAGAGACUGUUGAUGAGAAUAUAUGUGACUGGGUGUAUUAAUAGCAAAUAUUUGAAAGAAAAAAAUUGAUUCCCGGAUGAAAAACAUUGUCACAGUGACACCACCCCCCCCCACCCCGUUUCUGGUUGGCCUUUAAUUAAAGCCCCACAAUC